This 324-nucleotide ribosomal RNA is filed under the name uncultured eukaryote. RNAcentral describes it as "partial 18S ribosomal RNA". It matches the Rfam family "Eukaryotic small subunit ribosomal RNA", at positions 1470 to 1796 of the family's 1831-position model. The record is from RNAcentral.
CCCUUAGAUGUUCUGGGCUGCACGCGCGCUACACUGAUGCGAUCAACAAGUUUUUCCUAUGUCGAUAGACACGGGUAAUCUUUUGAACUCGCAUCGUGAUGGGGAUAGAUUAUUGUAAUUAUUAAUCUUCAACGAGGAAUUCCUAGUAGGUGCAAAUCAUCAGUUUGCAUCGAUUACGUCCCUGCCCUUUGUACACACCGCCCGUCGCUGCUACCGAUUGGUUGAUCUGGUGAAUUAUUCGGACUGCCGGCUGAAGGGGUUUCCUCAUCUGCCAGCGGAAAGUCUUGUUAACCCUAUCAACUAGAGGAAGCAGAAGUCGGAACA